CACUCCUACGGGAGGCAGCAGUGGGGAAUAUUGCACAAUGGGCGCAAGCCUGAUGCAGCCAUGCCGCGUGUAUGAAGAAGGCCUUCGGGUUGUAAAGUACUUUCAGCGGGGAGGAAGGCGAUAAGGUUAAUAACCUUGUCGAUUGACGUUACCCGCAGAAGAAGCACCGGCUAACUCCGUGCCAGCAGCCGCGGUAAUACGGAGGGUGCAAGCGUUAAUCGGAAUUACUGGGCGUAAAGCGCACGCAGGCGGUCUGUCAAGUCGGAUGUGAAAUCCCCGGGCUCAACCUGGGAACUGCAUUCGAAACUGGCAGGCUAGAGUCUUGUAGAGGGGGGUAGAAUUCCAGGUGUAGCGGUGAAAUGCGUAGAGAUCUGGAGGAAUACCGGUGGCGAAGGCGGCCCCCUGGACAAAGACUGACGCUCAGGUGCGAAAGCGUGGGGAGCAAACAGGAUUAGAUACCCGAGUAGUCCCAUGAU
This 476-nucleotide ribosomal RNA is filed under the name uncultured organism. RNAcentral describes it as "partial 16S ribosomal RNA". It matches the Rfam family "Bacterial small subunit ribosomal RNA", at positions 334 to 801 of the family's 1533-position model. The record is from RNAcentral.